This 408-nucleotide ribosomal RNA is filed under the name uncultured bacterium. Its description in RNAcentral is "partial 16S ribosomal RNA". It matches the Rfam family "Bacterial small subunit ribosomal RNA", at positions 28 to 526 of the family's 1533-position model. The record is from RNAcentral.
GACGAACGCUGGCGGCGUGCUUAACACAUGCAAGUCGAACGGAGUGGCGAACGGGUGAGUAUUACGUGAGUAACCUGCCCUCAACGGUGGGAUAAGCCUGGGAAACUGGGUCUAAUACUGCAUAGUUGGGGAUGGGCUCGCGGCCUAUCAGCUUGUUGGUGGGGUGUGGGCCUACCAAGGCGGUGACGGGUAGCCGGCCUGGGAGGGUGGUCGGUCACAGUGGGCCGGAGAUACGGCCCAGACACCGACGGGUGGCAGACGUGGGGGAUUUUGCACAAUGGGUGCAAGCCUGAUGCAGCGACACCGCGUGAGGGUUUAAGGCUUUCGGGUUGUAUACCUAUUUCGGUACAGAAAGGGUAGGUGGCGAAGAAGAGCCGGCUAACUACGUGCCAGCAGCCGCGGUAAUAC